This 458-nucleotide ribosomal RNA is filed under the name uncultured bacterium. RNAcentral's name for it is "partial 16S ribosomal RNA". It matches the Rfam family "Bacterial small subunit ribosomal RNA", at positions 338 to 795 of the family's 1533-position model. The record is from RNAcentral.
CCUACGGGAGGCAGCAGUGAGGAAUAUUGGUCAAUGGGCGAGAGCCUGAACCAGCCAAGUCGCGUGAGGGAGUACUGCCCUAUGGGUUGUAAACCUCUUUUGUCGGGGAGCAAAAGCCGGACGUGUCCGGCUGUGAGAGUACCCGAAGAAAAAGCAUCGGCUAACUCCGUGCCAGCAGCCGCGGUAAUACGGAGGAUGCGAGCGUUAUCCGGAUUUAUUGGGUGUAAAGGGUGCGCAGGCGGAUUUUUAAGUCAGCGGUAAAAUCGUGGGGCUCAACCCCAUCCAGCCGUUGAAACUGGGGAUCUAGAGUGUGCGAGAGGUAUGCGGAAUGCGUGGUGUAGCGGUGAAAUGCAUAGAUAGCACGCAGAACCCCGAUUGCGAAGGCAGCAUACCGGUGCACAACUGACGCUCAGGCACGAAAGCGUGGGUAUCGAACAGGAUUAGAUACCCUUGUAGUC